RNAcentral lists this ribosomal RNA (253 nucleotides) under uncultured bacterium. RNAcentral's name for it is "partial 16S ribosomal RNA". It matches the Rfam family "Bacterial small subunit ribosomal RNA", at positions 524 to 776 of the family's 1533-position model. The record is from RNAcentral.
UACGUAGGGUGCAAGCGUUGUCCGGAAUUAUUGGGCGUAAAGAGCUCGUAGGCGGUCUGUCGCGUCGGCUGUGAAAACCCGGGGCUCAACUCCGGGCCUGCAGUCGAUACGGGCUGGCUUGAGUGCGGUAGGGGAGACUGGAAUUCCUGGUGUAGCGGUGAAAUGCGCAGAUAUCAGGAGGAACACCGGUGGCGAAGGCGGGUCUCUGGGCCGUAACUGACGCUGAGGAGCGAAAGCGUGGGGAGCGAACAGG